AAAGCACACGCAUGACCUUCAAUUCGAUCGCAUCUUCAAUUUCAGAGAGCUCACCUUCGCCAUUCUCCUCAAAAGCACAAACCCUUCACCAUUGACACUCAUCACCUUCAUCAUUCUCACCAUCGCCAUUGACCAUCGCCCCCCACUCACCACUCACCACUCACCACUCACCGCCAGUCGCCAUUCACCACUCACCACAUCGCUGCACUAACCAUCUCCUCUUUGCGCAUAAACCCUUCACCAUUGGCACUCAUAACCUUUUCCCUUCUCACCGUCGCCAUUGACCGUCGCCCCCACUCACGACUCACCACAUCGCUGCACUGAUCGUUGCUCCUCUUCGCCGUCCUUCACUGAUCGUCGCUGUGCUGCCCUCACCGUCGUCAUCUCUGCACUUCUCAUCGUCCUCUCUGUGCUCACAUCGUCGGAUAGGGUUUGUGCGAAUGAUAUAUUGCUUCAGAAGGACUCAAACAUAGAGUUUUUGAGGUCUCACUUGCUGAUCUUCAAGGGGAUCAGGACCACACCUUCAAGAAGAUUAGAUUGAGAGCAGAAGAUGUACAAGGAAGGAUGUGCUCACAAAUUUCUGGGGCAAGGAUUUUACUACUGACAAACUGAGGUCACUUGUUAAGAAACGGUAAACUUUGAUUGAAGCUCAUGUGGAUGUGAAUACCACUGAUAAUUACACUUUGAGGAUGUUCUGUAUUGGGUUUGCUAAGAGACAUUUUAACCAGAUGAAAAGAACCUGCUAUGCUCAAUCAAGCCAAAUUCAUCAGAUGAACAUCACGAGAUUUCUGAGCACAAGGAAUGUGUAGCAACUGUAAUUUUCGUGUGUAGAAGUAGAACCCACUACACUAGCCACUAAUAUCGGGUUGCCAAGAAGCUCUAAAGAACAAUCGUCAUUAGGAAUGUGUGUAUAGUCACAGAUAAUUAGUCACAGAUUUGAGUUAUCUUCUGUGGUCACCACAUUUUAAAGCAACAGCUCAAAGAGAAAGCGACAACUUUAAAAGAUGAACUUGGAGACAUGAAGGCCAAACAGUAGCAACAAGAGGAAGAGAUUCAUAGAUUGUGGAAUAUGGUUUAGUUAUUAGAAGAUACUUAUGUAGGAUAUAAUAUUUUAGUUUUUCGUAGAGUAUUAAUAGUAAAUUCUAAGUGGUCUCUUGCUUAUUUUGAUAUGACUAUACUUAAUUUAGUGUGAGAUGUAUGAAUAUUCAAAAUUAACUUCAUUUCAAUACUUUUGGUUCAUUAUAAAUAUAUUUUGUUUA
This is a non-coding RNA of Arachis ipaensis, 1259 nucleotides long. The record is from RefSeq and is a predicted model, not a curated record. Lineage: Eukaryota; Viridiplantae; Streptophyta; Magnoliopsida; Fabales; Fabaceae.